Molecule: ribosomal RNA, 245 nt
Filed under: uncultured bacterium
Lineage: Bacteria
Description: partial 16S ribosomal RNA
Rfam family: Bacterial small subunit ribosomal RNA
Source: RNAcentral
UACGUAUGGGGCAAGCGUUGUUCGGAAUCAUUGGGCGUAAAGGGCUUGUAGGCGGUUUGGUAAGCCUGAUGUAAAAACCCGCAGCUUAACUGCGGGGCUGCAUUGGGAACUGCCAGGCUUGAGUUUGGGAUGGGGAACCGGAAUUCCUGGUGUAGGGGUGAAAUCUGUAGAUAUCAGGAAGAACACCUGUGGCGAAAGCGGGUUUCUGGACCAAUACUGACGCUGAGGAGCGAAAGCGUGGGGAG